RNAcentral lists this ribosomal RNA (600 nucleotides) under Vibrio antiquarius. Its description in RNAcentral is "bacterial SSU rRNA". It matches the Rfam family "Bacterial small subunit ribosomal RNA", at positions 76 to 664 of the family's 1533-position model. The record is from RNAcentral. Lineage: Bacteria; Pseudomonadati; Pseudomonadota; Gammaproteobacteria; Vibrionales; Vibrionaceae.
ACCUUCGGGGAACGAUAACGGCGUCGAGCGGCGGACGGGUGAGUAAUGCCUAGGAAAUUGCCCUGAUGUGGGGGAUAACCAUUGGAAACGAUGGCUAAUACCGCAUGAUGCCUACGGGCCAAAGAGGGGGACCUUCGGGCCUCUCGCGUCAGGAUAUGCCUAGGUGGGAUUAGCUAGUUGGUGAGGUAAGGGCUCACCAAGGCGACGAUCCCUAGCUGGUCUGAGAGGAUGAUCAGCCACACUGGAACUGAGACACGGUCCAGACUCCUACGGGAGGCAGCAGUGGGGAAUAUUGCACAAUGGGCGCAAGCCUGAUGCAGCCAUGCCGCGUGUGUGAAGAAGGCCUUCGGGUUGUAAAGUACUUUCAGUCGUGAGGAAGGCGGCGUCGUUAAUAGCGGCGUUGUUUGACGUUAGCGACAGAAGAAGCACCGGCUAACUCCGUGCCAGCAGCCGCGGUAAUACGGAGGGUGCGAGCGUUAAUCGGAAUUACUGGGCGUAAAGCGCAUGCAGGUGGUUUGUUAAGUCAGAUGUGAAAGCCCGGGGCUCAACCUCGGAAUAGCAUUUGAAACUGGCAGACUAGAGUACUGUAGAGGGGGGUAG